UACGAAGGGGGCUAGCGUUGCUCGGAAUUACUGGGCGUAAAGCGCACGUAGGCGGUCUUUUAAGUCGGGUGUGAAAUCUCGGGGCUUAACUCCGAAACUGCAUUCGAUACUGCCGUGCUUGAGGACUGGAGAGGAGACUGGAAUUUACGGUGUAGCGGUGAAAUGCGUAGAUAUCGUAAGGAAGACCAGUGGCGAAGGCGGGUCUCUGGACAGUUCCUGACGCUGAGGCACGAAGGUCAGGGGAGCAAACGGG
RNAcentral lists this ribosomal RNA (253 nucleotides) under uncultured bacterium. RNAcentral's name for it is "partial 16S ribosomal RNA". It matches the Rfam family "Bacterial small subunit ribosomal RNA", at positions 524 to 776 of the family's 1533-position model. The record is from RNAcentral.